UGCAUCCUUAUUAAUACUUUAAAUAUUUAGUUGCUACAAAAUAUAUAAAUUUUAGUUUCGCAAUAUAGGAUACAAAAGGUCAUUUAUUGCAAAUCUUUUGUUUGGUUUUUUGCAGAUUUGAUUGGCCGUGUUGUUUUCAUUAGUGAGCAAAAAGUUGUCCAAGUUAAUUCAAAUCCUCAAAGGUUGAUUGAUUUUGUCAUUGAAGACUCUCGGGGUAGUCGGCUCACUGUUACUCUAUGGGAGGAGCACGUGGAUUCUGUCUU
Molecule: long non-coding RNA, 263 nt
Organism: Ipomoea triloba (trilobed morning glory)
Lineage: Eukaryota; Viridiplantae; Streptophyta; Magnoliopsida; Solanales; Convolvulaceae
Exons: 3
Source: RefSeq, a predicted model, not a curated record